AAACAGCGGAUUCAGCAGCGGCCUGCACUAUUUAAGGGCAUCAGAGAUGGGCGCCGGCAUUCGGUUCGACCGAUUGGGCGUUCGGUCGCUGCCACGUCGUCGUCGUCAGUGACGCUGUCCCUGAGGACUGGCCGGCGGUGGGCGUUUCCCGCUGCUGCACCGGCGACUCCCAGCAUCGCCACGAGCCGCCGCGUCUGCAGGAGGCGCGCUGGCCGGGCCUCGGGCCGCUAACCUCCUACCGCCUGCGCAGCGGCUGACAGAGCGCGGCGUCACGUUCCAAGGACUGUGUGCAUCACCUCGUCUCCAUCAAGACACGAGCGGUGGGACUGAGCUACCGGAAAAUGUAUCGGGAGAACCAACAACAAAGAGGAAGAUUGCUAAAAACAGCCACCUAUUAUAAGUGGUGUCAGUCGGGCAACCUGCGCAUCACACACUCCUGUUACAAUUGGAGACAGUAGUGGUCUUCUCCCUGAAUUUGGAGGAAACUGUGGCUGGUAAUCGACGAGGAUAUGUGGCACCUGAGAAGGGCAACAAUGGAUCAGCAACUCCUGCAACAUUACUAAUUUCCUCUGAAAAAGAAAGAGCUGUUAAGUCGUUGGGUAGCCAAUAUGAGGCGAGAUAAGUGGCAGCCAACUCAAUAUAGCUACGUAUGCACCUUUCACUUUGAAGAUAGAUACAUGUAUAGUACAAACGAGAAAAGGCGACUUCUGGCAAACGCAGUACCGAUAAUAUUUAUGUUUCUUGACUGUCUGCAGAAAACAACUAUAGUAUAGAGACAACCAAGGAGACAGCCUGUCAGUGAAGAAUCAGCUUCCUUAUCAAAUGAACCAGGUGAAAGAGUGAAUCAGAAUGAUCAUACAGAUCAUUCUUAUUGUUUGCCUAGCCCCCAAAAAUUGAAACAGAAUUAUGAGGCACUACAGAAAAGGACCGAGAAGCUGAGGAAGCAAGCGAAACAUGCAAAGCAAAGUGUUUCAAGAAAGAAGAAACAAAAUGUGACAUAUAAAACAGUGGUUGUAGGCCUAAAUAAGAGACUUCAAGACUGCUUCUGAAGUGAUAAGGAUGUGACAAAAAUAGUGAUAUUCUGAAGCAACUUUUUGCAAUGCAAAACAAAUGUUCAAUUCCUGAAUAUCCUAAAGAAAUAAAACAGUUUAUCCUUA
Molecule: long non-coding RNA, 1157 nt
Organism: Schistocerca gregaria
Lineage: Eukaryota; Metazoa; Arthropoda; Insecta; Orthoptera; Acrididae
Exons: 3
Source: RefSeq, a predicted model, not a curated record